This 217-nucleotide unclassified non-coding RNA is filed under the name Ascomycota sp. Its description in RNAcentral is "partial contains small subunit ribosomal RNA, internal transcribed spacer 1, and 5.8S ribosomal RNA". The stretch from base 1 to 47 matches the Rfam family "Eukaryotic small subunit ribosomal RNA", at positions 1785 to 1831 of the family's 1831-position model. The record is from RNAcentral. Lineage: Eukaryota; Fungi; Ascomycota.
AAAGUCGUAACAAGGUUUCCGUAGGUGAACCUGCGGAAGGAUCAUUACCUAGAGUUGCGGGCUUUGCCUGCUAUCUCUUACCCAUGUCUUUUGAGUACUUACGUUUCCUCGGCGGGUCCGCCCGCCGAAGACAAAAAAUUAAAACCUUUGCAGUUGCAAUCAGCGUCUGAAAAAAAUAUAAUAAUUACAACUUUCAACAACGGAUCUCUUGGUUCUG